UCAAAGAAAUGAAUUGUCACCCACUCCACUUUCCAAAAACCUCUUUUUUGUUGUCAGUUUUAGUUUCAUGAAGAGCUCCUUAAUGCUACCCAGAACCCCCAUCUAGCACGCUCUCCAGUGAUUCAAAGGUCCCCAAAGCCUCUCAAUUAUGCUCUCGUUCCCAUUGCCUUCCAAAUCCCAACGAUUCUAUGGUGUAAGAAGGUACAGAUCCUUCCAGGUAAACCUCUUCACUCCUCUUAAGACUUUAUGUUGCGAUUAUAUGGGUUGUCUGGUUCGCCAAUCAUGAAAUAUAUUUGAAUCAAAUGCUUUGAAAUCAUCUUUUGUACUAUUGAAUAUCUUUGAUGUAUGCUCCUAUCUUUGAUUUGUCUAAAACGUUGGACUGACAUUUUUUAUUACUGUUAACUCAUCGCAUUUGAUUUCUACUGAAUCCACUCCAUUGCUAAUCCCCAACCUUACCGCUUGAGAACAUACACAAGCCUCCGCAGCGAACAGAGAAGCAACCUUCUUCUUCAAUGGCGAUUUUGAGAUCAGGACCUUUCCACUAUCAUCUUUGGCAAUUAGUCCCGAGGCCGAUCUAAAUUGUAGAGGGUUAUAGGCCGCGUCUAAGUUUAUUCAAAUGGUUUGGUUUUCUGGAGGCCUCCAUUCGGAAACAAUACACCGUUUGAUAACCCAAAGUGCGUAGCAAAAGAUACAACAUUGGUGACUCGAUCCUCUUCUAAACACCCAGUGUUGUCAGGUCAGCUCGGGGUUAGAGAUCAUCGGAGGCAGCAUCACACUAUCAAGCCAAUACUUUUGGAAUAUUGUUACACAUGUUAGAAUUAUCAAGUCAGUGGCAUGUAUAGGGACCUAGUUUUAUGACAUUUGUUAUUAUGAUUUGGCCAAAUUUAUUGGCCUAUUUUGAGCUAUUGUAUAUGGCCAUGAGAUGCGGCUCAUAUUGAUUAUGACUUGUAAGUCUAGCUAGUCAUGUUAUGAUUUAUUGCUUAUGAUAUGAAGAUAUGAUUAUGAUUGUUUGUCA
Long non-coding RNA from Gossypium arboreum, 1015 nucleotides. RefSeq lists it as uncharacterized. NCBI's taxonomy places the organism in Eukaryota, Viridiplantae, Streptophyta, Magnoliopsida, Malvales, Malvaceae. The record is from RefSeq and is a predicted model, not a curated record. The transcript has 3 exons.